Molecule: ribosomal RNA, 497 nt
Filed under: uncultured bacterium
Lineage: Bacteria
Description: partial 16S ribosomal RNA
Rfam family: Bacterial small subunit ribosomal RNA
Source: RNAcentral
GAUGAACGCUGGCGGCGUGCCUAAUACAUGCAAGUCGAACGACCACACGAUAAGCUUGCUCCCCUAACGUUAGCGGCGGACGGGUGAGUGACACGUGGAUAACCUUCUUCUUUUUCUUGGAUAACUUCGGGAAACCGCUGCUGCUACCAGCUCAUAUGUUGAACCGCAUGGUUCAAUAGUGCAUCACGCUUUUGCUGUCACUUAUAGAUGGAUCCGCGCCGCAUUAGCUAGUUGGUAAGGUAACGGCUUACCAAGGCGACGAUGCGUAGCCGAGCUGAGAGGGUGAUCAGCCACACUGGAACUGAGACACGGUCCAGACUCCUACGGGAGGCAGCAGUAGGGAAUAUUCCGCAAUGGGCGAAAGCCUGACGGAGCAAUGCCGCGUGAGUGAUGAAGGUCUUCGGGUCGUAAAGCUCUUUUAUUAGGGAAGAAAAAAUGUGUAAGAAACUAUGCACGUCUUGACGGUACCUAAUGAGAAAGCCACGGCUAACUACGUG